CCUACGGGUGGCAGCAGUGAGGAAUAUUGGUCACUGGCCGGAAGUCUGAACCAGCAAUGCCGCGUGAGGGACGACGGCUCUAUGUGUUGUAAACCGCUUUUGUACGGGGAUAAACGCAUCUACGUGUAUCUGUCUGAAAGUAUCGUCCGAAUAAGGAUCGGCUAACUCAGUGCCAGCAGCCGCGGUAAUACGGAGGAUUCAAGCGUUAUCCGGUUUUAUUGGGUGUAAAGGGUGCGUAGGCGGUCGGUUAAGUUAGAUGUGAAAUCCCGGGGCUUAACCUCGGUAUUGCCUCUGAUAGUGGUCGGCUAGAGAGUAGUAGCGGGAGGCGGAAUGCAAGGUGUAGCGGUGAAAUGCGGAGAGAGCA
RNAcentral lists this ribosomal RNA (364 nucleotides) under uncultured bacterium. Its description in RNAcentral is "partial 16S ribosomal RNA". It matches the Rfam family "Bacterial small subunit ribosomal RNA", at positions 338 to 699 of the family's 1533-position model. The record is from RNAcentral.